RNAcentral lists this long non-coding RNA (1109 nucleotides) under Heterocephalus glaber (naked mole-rat). Its description in RNAcentral is "lncRNA (ENSHGLG00100042924.1)". Lineage: Eukaryota; Metazoa; Chordata; Mammalia; Rodentia; Bathyergidae. The record is from RNAcentral.
UGUUACCUUUGCUACCUUGCGCGCGCCAUGUUGUUUCUCACCUCCAAGGCCUGAUUGCCGUCCCUGUCAGCAGACUAUGGACUGAAACCUCUACAAAUGCAUGAGGAACUUCACUGAGUGCUGACACUAUGCUCUUGGACUGGCAGCCUCUGGAACUGCAUAGGAAAGAUACUUCUGGAAUGAAGGAUUUUUUUUCUGAGAAAGAUCAGCCCUGCUUCAGAGGAAAAGUACCAGGGAUCAAAAUCAGGACCUUGUGCUUGCCAGACAGGCGCAACACCACAGAGCUACAUCCCUGGAUCUAAUCCUCUAAUCUUAAAAAUAAUUCUUCAAAGAAGAGAUUAUCAACUUAACCUUUUAGGUUGUUGUUCUAUAUCUUCAAAAUGGCUAAACUGCACUUAGAAUCCAUCCAAAUUUUAGAAAAUAAUGAGUCCUUACUUAUUUCCUGGAAGCUUAGUUUGUGUUUCUUGACCAUUAUGAAAAGUAGUUGCCAUAUCUACAAAUCUAGAAAUUUAUAUAACAUUGGUAAAUUUUUACUAAAAUAUAUGAGUUUACUACCACAUAAAUAAUUAUAACUUUAAAAUUUACAUACAUUUGGGGUCCAAGUACACUUAAAUUGUAAGUAUGUCACAAUUAUGAUUUUGGAUCUCCUAAAUGAAUUCUGAUAUGUAAAUGUGUACUGACUUUUAGUUAUGAGUCUGAGAAAUAUAAAUGAGUGUUUGUGUGUUUUUUGGUUUAUUUGUUUGAUUGAUUGUUUUUUCCUAUUUGUGUGUUUACUAGCAUGGAAUCAACUGUCCUCAUUCUCAAAUUUACCUCUGUUUUAGUAUGAAAAGAGUAGAUCAAAGAAUCUGAAGUAUGUAACAGGCAUGAUUCUGCUGAGAAGGCUUCUGUAGGAUCAUAGUUAAUUGCUUUAAACUUAGUCUAAACAAAACUCAAGUAAAUAAAGAGCAAAUUGGCCAGUUUAAAAUAGAUUAAUUUGAACACAGAAAGGAUCUAUUCAUUUUUUCUCUUAUUUCUUCUCCUGAGUGGUUAAGUGGAAAACAAUCUGCAGAAUCCCUCCCCGAUCCGUUCUAACUCUGACAUUUACAUUUAUUUGUGCCUUAAAGAUUAAC